GGUUAAGCGACUAAGCGUACACGGUGGAUGCCCUGGCAGUCAGAGGCGAUGAAGGACGUGCUAAUCUGCGAAAAGCGCCGGCGAGGUGAUAUGAACCUUUGACCCGGCGAUGUCCGAAUGGGGAAACCCAGUGCAAUCCGUUGCACUAUCGUUAACUGAAUACAUAGGUUAACGAGGCGAACCGGGGGAACUGAAACAUCUAAGUACCCCGAGGAAAAGAAAUCAACCGAGAUUCCCCCAGUAGCGGCGAGCGAACGGGGAGCAGCCCGGAGUCUGAAUCAGCUUGUGUGUUAGUGGAACGGUCUGGAAAGUCCGACGGUACAGGGUGAUAGUCCCGUACACGAAAGCACACUUGCUGUGAACUCGAAGAGUAGGGCGGGACACGUGGUAUCCUGUCUGAAUAUGGGGGGACCAUCCUCCAAGGCUAAAUACUCCUGACUGACCGAUAGUGAACCAGUACCGUGAGGGAAAGGCGAAAAGAACCCCGGCGAGGGGAGUGAAAAAGAACCUGAAACCGUGUACGUACAAGCAGUGGGAGCCUCUUUAUGGGGUGACUGCGUACCUUUUGUAUAAUGGGUCAGCGACUUAUAUUCUGUAGCAAGGUUAACCGUAUAGGGGAGCCGAAGGGAAACCGAGUCUUAACUGGGCGUUAAGUUGCAGGGUAUAGACCCGAAACCCGGUGAUCUAGCCAUGGGCAGGUUGAAGGUUGGGUAACACUAACUGGAGGACCGAACCGACUAAUGUUGAAAAAUUAGCGGAUGACCUGUGGCUGGGGGUGAAAGGCCAAUCAAACCGGGAGAUAGCUGGUUCUCCCCGAAAGCUAUUUAGGUAGCGCCUCGUGAACUCAUCUUCGGGGGUAGAGCACUGUUUCGGCUAGGGGGCCAUCCCGGCUUACCAACCCGAUGCAAACUACGAAUACCGAAGAAUGUUAUCACGGGAGACACACGGCGGGUGCUAACGUCCGUCGUGAAGAGGGAAACAACCCAGACCGCCAGCUAAGGUCCCAAAGUCAUGGUUAAGUGGGAAACGAUGUGGGAAGGCACAGACAGCCAGGAUGUUGGCUUAGAAGCAGCCAUCAUUUAAAGAAAGCGUAAUAGCUCACUGGUCGAGUCGGCCUGCGCGGAAGAUGUAACGGGGCUAAACCAUGCACCGAAGCUGCGGCAGCGACGCUUA
This 1173-nucleotide ribosomal RNA is filed under the name Enterobacter hormaechei. RNAcentral describes it as "partial 23S ribosomal RNA". It matches the Rfam family "Bacterial large subunit ribosomal RNA", at positions 1 to 1217 of the family's 2925-position model. Lineage: Bacteria; Pseudomonadati; Pseudomonadota; Gammaproteobacteria; Enterobacterales; Enterobacteriaceae. The record is from RNAcentral. RNAcentral also lists the same sequence under 4 other names.